This 2289-nucleotide ribosomal RNA is filed under the name metagenome. RNAcentral's name for it is "eukaryotic LSU rRNA". It matches the Rfam family "Eukaryotic large subunit ribosomal RNA", at positions 161 to 2291 of the family's 3401-position model. The record is from RNAcentral.
CUCCUCACGGUCUGACUGACAAGUCAAAGUCCAACUUGACUGUGGCCACUGCCCAUAGAGGGUGAUAGGCCCGUAAGGCUGUCGGUUGACUGUGGCGACUUUUCCCUCGAGUCGGGUUGCUUGGGAGUGCAGCCCAAAGUGUGAGGUAAACUCCUCAUAAGCCUAAAUAUUACCCUGAGACCGAUAGCAAACAAGUACGGUGACGGAAGAUUGAAAAGAACUUUGAAGAGAGAGUUCAAUAGUACGUGAAACUGUGUGGUGGUAAACGGAGGGGUUCUCGAAGUUUCUGGAGGGAACUCAGCCUUGGAGUGGGGCUGUCUGGUUGUAUCUGAUCAGCAAUGACAGUGCGGCUAGUCAGGCUCUGUUCACGGGUGCAUUUCCCCUUCAGUUUACGGCAGGAACCGUUUAGUGCAGACCUAAGGCUCUGGGUGAAGUUAUAGGCCUAGCUUGUAGCCCCGGAUGUUCUGGCUUUGCGCUAGACGGGUAAUUGAGGAGACUCGUAUAGCGAGCAAUGCUCUGUUGCAGUCUCCAUCUCUCUGCCGAGUAGGUCGGUGGCCCCUCCGACCCGUCUUGAAACACGGACCAAGGAGUCUAACAUGUAUGCGAGCCAUUGAGUUGACUAAACUUAAAGGCGUAGUGAAAGCAAAGAGUAGCUUGCUGCUCGAGGGAGGAUCCGUAAGGCGCACUCCCGCGACUUCCCAUUGACCUCGCUUCAUGGGGAGUACGCAGAGCAUAAAUGUUGGGACCCGAAAGAUGGUGAACUAUGCCUGGCCAGGAUGAAGUCAGGGGAAACCCUGAUGGAGGUCCGUAGUGGUUCUGACGUGCAAAUCGAUCACCGGAGCUGGGUAUAGGGGCGAAAGACUAAUCGAACCAUCUAGUAGCUGGUUCCUGCCGAAGUUUCCCUCAGGAUAGCUGGUGCUCAUAUACGAGUUUCAUCCGGUAAAGCGAAUGAUUAGAAGCAUUGGGGGCGAAACGCCCUCAACUUAUUCUCAAACUUUAAAUGGGUGAGAAGUCUGUCUUGCUUGAGUGAAGUCAGACACUGAAUCGGAGUGCCUAGUGGGCCAUUUUUGGUAAGCAGAACUGGCGCUGUGGGAUGAACCAAACGCAGAGUUAAAGUGCCAAAGUGGAAGCUCAUCAGAUCCCACGAAAGGUGUUGGUUGCUUAAAACAGCAGGACGGUGGCCAUGGAAGUCGGAAUCCGCUAAGGAGUGUGUAACAACUCACCUGCCGAAGCAACUAGCCCUGAAAAUGGAUGGCGCUAAAGCUUCCCACUUAUACUCUGCCGUUCAGUUAGAGCUGGCCCUUGUGGUCCUGACAACUGAACGAGUAGGCAGGUCGCUCGGGUAGCGCAGAAGGCUCUGGGUGUGAACCUGGCUGGAGCUGCCCGAGGUGCAGAUCUUGGUGGUAGUAGCAAAUACUCCAGAGAGGCCCUGGAGGACCGAUGUGGAGAAGGGUUCAGUGUGAACAGCUGUUGGACACUGGUCAGUCACUCCUAAGGCUUAGGGGAAACCCUAUAAAAUUGUGUGGUGUUUUCAGUUUGACUAGACCACAACUACAGCCGAAAGGGAAUGAGGUUCUUAUUCCUCAACCUGAUAGCGGAACCGAUUCGGCCCUCGUACCGACACGGCAACGUGAAAUGAGCCUGAGACGCCCACCCGAGCUCUGGGAAGAGUUGUCUUUUCUGCAUAAGCCGCUGAGGCCCUGGAAUUCCUUCGAGGAGAGAAUGGGUUUUGGUCUUGGCAAAGAGCGCAGCAGUUCUUGCUGUGUCCAUGAGUGACGGGCGGGACCUUGAAAAUCAGGCUGAGGGUUACGGCGGAGUCGCAUCAGCGUGUACCCAUAUCCGCAGCAGGUCUCCUAGGUGAAUAGCCUCUGGUCGAUAGAAUAAUGUAGGUAAGGGAAGUCGGCAAAUUGGAUCCGUAACUUCGGGAUAAGGAUUGGCUCUGAGGGUCGGGGUGUUUGGGCUUUGAGCUGGAAGCAGGUUGGCCUACAGGUGGGCCUGGCCGAACCCUUGGGUGAAGUCGGUCCCGUUCACAGGCUCCUGUGGAUAGCCAUUGCUUUGCGGGCCCGGGCAACCGGUGUCCGUUCAAACAUCAAUCAACGACUAACUCAGAACUGGCACGGACUAGGGGAAUCCGACUGUCUAAUUAAAACAAAGCAUUGCGAUGGUCAGAGAGUGAUGUUGACGCAAUGUGAUUUCUGCCCAGUGCUCUGAAUGUCAAAGUGAAGAGGUUCGUCCAAGCGCGGGUAAACGGCGGGAGUAACUAUGACUCUCUUAAGGUAGCCAAAUGCC